CAAUAGCGUAUAUUAAAGUUGUUGCAGUUAAAAAGCUCGUAGUUGGAUUUCUGGUGGGAGCGAUCGGUCUGGCGCUUAGCGCGAGUACUUGCAUCGUCUCCGGCCAUCCUUGGGGAAAGUCUGUCUGGCAUUAAGUUGUCGGGCAGAGGAUCCUCAUCGUUUACUGUGAAAAAAUUAGAGUGUUCAAGGCAGGCUUAUGCCGUUGAAUAUAUUAGCAUGGAAUAAUAAGAUAGGACUUUGGUACUAUUUUGUUGGUUUGCGCACCAAAGUAAUGAUUAAUAGGGACAGUUGGGGGUAUUCGUAUUCCGUUGUCAGAGGUGAAAUUCUUGGAUUUACGGAAGACGAACUACUGCGAAAGCAUUUACCAAGGAUGUUUUCAUUAA
Molecule: ribosomal RNA, 383 nt
Filed under: uncultured eukaryote
Lineage: Eukaryota
Description: partial 18S ribosomal RNA
Rfam family: Eukaryotic small subunit ribosomal RNA
Source: RNAcentral